AGGGAAACUUACGCUAAUACCGCAUACGACCUACGGGUGAAAGCAGGGGAUCUUCGGACCUUGCGCGAUUGAAUGAGCCGAUGUCGGAUUAGCUAGUUGGCGGGGUAAAGGCCCACAAAGGCGACGAUCCGUAGCUGGUCUGAGAGGAUGAUCAGCCACACUGGAACUGAGACACGGUCCAGACUCCUACGGGAGGCAGCAGCC
Molecule: ribosomal RNA, 204 nt
Filed under: uncultured Stenotrophomonas sp.
Lineage: Bacteria; Pseudomonadati; Pseudomonadota; Gammaproteobacteria; Lysobacterales; Lysobacteraceae
Description: partial 16S ribosomal RNA
Rfam family: Bacterial small subunit ribosomal RNA
Source: RNAcentral